UAGGGAAUCUUCCGCAAUGGACGCAAGUCUGACGGAGCAACGCCGCGUGAGUGAAGAAGGAUUUCGGUUCGUAAAACUCUGUUGUUAGAGAAGAACAGCGCAUAGAGUAACUGUUAUGCGUGUGACGGUAUCUAACCAGAAAGCCACGGCUAACUACGUGCCAGCAGCCGCGGUAAUACGUAGGUGGCAAGCGUUGUCCGGAUUUAUUGGGCGUAAAGCGAGCGCAGGCGGUUAGAUAAGUCUGAAGUUAAAGGCAGUGGCUCAACCAUUGUAGGCUUUGGAAACUGUUUAACUUGAGUGCAGAAGAGGAGAGUGGAAUUCCAUGUGUAGCGGUGAAAUGCGUAGAUAUAUGGAGGAACACCAGUGGCGAAGGCGACUCUCUGGUCUGUAACUGACGCUGAGGCUCGAAAGCGUGGGUAGCAAACAGG
This 428-nucleotide ribosomal RNA is filed under the name Bacteroidota bacterium. RNAcentral's name for it is "Bacteroidetes bacterium partial 16S ribosomal RNA". It matches the Rfam family "Bacterial small subunit ribosomal RNA", at positions 355 to 776 of the family's 1533-position model. Lineage: Bacteria; Pseudomonadati; Bacteroidota. The record is from RNAcentral.